ACGCAUCACUCUGAAAAUACAAGAAAUCCAGCACACACGCCAUAACUUUUAAACAACUUUUUCAAUUUCUAAAAAAUCUGAACCGAUUCCCUUCUAUUCCUCUGCCCUAAAAUCCUUCAUCAAUACCAAUAACAACUCAUACCCGACAAUCAUUAGAAACCUGUUUUUGAAACACUUCUCUAAAAAACUCAUCUGGAUCCCAAGUCACAUUGGAAUUACAGAAAACGAAAACGUCGAUAAAACAGCUAAAGAUGUCCACAUGUACCCCCUUGUAUACUGUCCAAAUUACAACUCCAACGACAUCUCACAGAAUAUUACAAAAUACGUUUUCUCCAAACAAACAGAACUAGACAUCAACAUUACUCCUUGGUACAAGCGUGUCCUUUCUAACCACAUCAAAUUUCUCUUACAACACCACAUUACACAAUAGGAAAAGUCAAAUCCUUAUAAACCGGCUCAUGCUUGGACACACCAACUUCACUAAUGCGCCUUCCAGUUUGAAAGAUCCCUACCCAACCCAUGGUACCAUCAUCACCAGUUAGACAUUAAACACAUCAUCUCGUU
This is a non-coding RNA of Drosophila melanogaster (fruit fly), 564 nucleotides long. The record is from Ensembl. Lineage: Eukaryota; Metazoa; Arthropoda; Insecta; Diptera; Drosophilidae.